GCGUGUGUAACUCAGUAGGCUAGAGUAGCGGGCUUUUAACCCGAAGGUCGAGGGUUCGAACCCCUCCACACGUA
RNAcentral lists this transfer RNA (74 nucleotides) under Ignavibacteria bacterium. Its description in RNAcentral is "tRNA-Lys". It matches the Rfam family "tRNA". Rfam says of the family: Transfer RNA (tRNA) molecules are approximately 80 nucleotides in length. Their secondary structure includes four short double-helical elements and three loops (D, anti-codon, and T loops). Lineage: Bacteria; Pseudomonadati; Ignavibacteriota; Ignavibacteria. The record is from RNAcentral.